Molecule: ribosomal RNA, 483 nt
Filed under: uncultured bacterium
Lineage: Bacteria
Description: bacterial SSU rRNA
Rfam family: Bacterial small subunit ribosomal RNA
Source: RNAcentral
AUUGAACGCUGGCGGCAUGCUUUACACAUGCAAGUCGAACGGUAACAGGGAGCUUGCUCCGCUGACGAGUGGCGAACGGGUGAGUAAUGCAUCGGAACGUGCCGUGUAAUGGGGGAUAACGUAGCGAAAGUUACGCUAAUACCGCAUACGCCCUGAGGGGGAAAUGGGGGACCGCAAGACCUUGCGCUAUACGAGCGGCCGAUGUCAGAUUAGCUAGUUGGUAGGGUAAAGGCCUACCAAGGCGACGAUCUGUAGCGGGUCUGAGAGGAUGAUCCGCCACACUGGGACUGAGACACGGCCCAGACUCCUACGGGAGGCAGCAGUGGGGAAUUUUGGACAAUGGGCGAAAGCCUGAUCCAGCCAUGCCGCGUGAGUGAAGAAGGCCUUCGGGUUGUAAAGCUCUUUCGGCUGGGAAGAAAUCGCACAGGCUAAUACUCUGUGUGGAUGACGGUACCAGCACAAGAAGCACCGGCUAACUACGUG